GACGAACGCUGGCGGCGUGCUUAACACAUGCAAGUCGAACGGAAAGGCCCUGCUUUUGUGGGGUGCUCGAGUGGCGAACGGGUGAGUAACACGUGAGUAACCUGCCCUUGACUUUGGGAUAACUUCAGGAAACUGGGGCUAAUACCGGAUAGGAGCUCCUGCUGCAUGGUGGGGGUUGGAACGUUUCGGCGGUUGGGGAUGGACUCGCGGCUUAUCAGCUUGUUGGUGGGGUAGUGGCUUACCAAGGCUUUGACGGGUAGCCGGCCUGAGAGGGUGACCGGCCACAUUGGGACUGAGAUACGGCCCAGACUCCUACGGGAGGCAGCAGUGGGAAAGAUUGCACAAUGGGCGGAAGCCUGAUGCAGCAACGCCGCGUGCGGGAUGACGGCCUUCGGGUUGUAAACCGCUUUCGCCUGUGACGAAGCGUGAGUGACGGUAAUGGGUAGAGAAGCACCGGCUAACUACGUG
Molecule: ribosomal RNA, 468 nt
Filed under: uncultured bacterium
Lineage: Bacteria
Description: partial 16S ribosomal RNA
Rfam family: Bacterial small subunit ribosomal RNA
Source: RNAcentral